This 52-nucleotide small RNA is filed under the name Arabidopsis thaliana (thale cress). RNAcentral describes it as "ATSL278700". The record is from RNAcentral. Lineage: Eukaryota; Viridiplantae; Streptophyta; Magnoliopsida; Brassicales; Brassicaceae.
CUUUUCACUUCUUAUGUCCUCAGCAUCUAAGCUCACUGGCGUCUCCAUUGCA